GUGGUUUAAUUCGAUGCAACGCGAAGAACCUUACCAGGCCUUGACAUGCAGAGAACUUUCCAGAGAUGGAUUGGUGCCGUUCGGGAACUCUGACACAGGUGCUGCAUGGCUGUCGUCAGCUCGUGUCGUGAGAUGUUGGGUUAAGUCCCGCAACGAGCGCAACCCUUGUGUUUAGUUGCAAACAGGUCAAGCUGUGCACUCUAGACAGACUGCCGUGGACAACACGGAGGAAGGUGGGGAUGACGUCAAAUCAUCAUGCCCCUUAUGAUCUGGGCUACACACGUGCUACAAUGGCCGGUACAACGGGCAGCGAAGGAGCGAUCCGGAGCGAAUCCUAAAAAGCCGGUCCCAGUUCGGAUUGCAGGCUGAAACUCGCCUACAUGAAGUUGGAGUUGCUAGUAAUCGCGAAUCAGAAUGUCGCGGUGAAUGCGUUCCCGGGUCUU
Molecule: ribosomal RNA, 443 nt
Filed under: uncultured Fusibacter sp.
Lineage: Bacteria; Bacillati; Bacillota; Clostridia; Eubacteriales; Fusibacteraceae
Description: partial 16S ribosomal RNA
Rfam family: Bacterial small subunit ribosomal RNA
Source: RNAcentral